GACGAACGCUGGCGGCGUGCUUAACACAUGCAAGUCGAACGGAAAGGCCCUGCUUUUGUGGGGUGCUAGAGUGGCGAACGGGUGAGUAACACGUGAGUAACCUGGCCUUGACUUUGGGAUAACUUCAGGAAACUGGGGCUAAUACCGGAUAGGAGCUCCUGCUGCAUGGUGGGGGUUGGAAAGUUUCGGCGGUUGGGGAUGGACUCGCGGGUUAUCAGCUUGUUGGUGGGGUAGUGGCUUACCAAGGCUUUGACGGGUAGCCGGCCUGAGAGGGUGACCGGCCACAUUGGGACUGAGAUACGGCCCAGACUCCUACGGGAGGCAGCAGUGGGGAAUAUUGCACAAUGGGCGGAAGCCUGAUGCAGCAACGCCGCGUGCGGGAUGACGGCCUUCGGGUUGUAAACCGCUUUCGCCUGUGACGAAGCGUGAGUGACGGUAAUGGGUAAAGAAGCACCGGCUAACUACGUG
RNAcentral lists this ribosomal RNA (468 nucleotides) under uncultured bacterium. Its description in RNAcentral is "partial 16S ribosomal RNA". It matches the Rfam family "Bacterial small subunit ribosomal RNA", at positions 28 to 507 of the family's 1533-position model. The record is from RNAcentral.